This 409-nucleotide ribosomal RNA is filed under the name Escherichia coli. Its description in RNAcentral is "bacterial SSU rRNA". It matches the Rfam family "Bacterial small subunit ribosomal RNA", at positions 1 to 406 of the family's 1533-position model. The record is from RNAcentral. Lineage: Bacteria; Pseudomonadati; Pseudomonadota; Gammaproteobacteria; Enterobacterales; Enterobacteriaceae. RNAcentral also lists the same sequence under 1 other name.
AAAUUGAAGAGUUUGAUCAUGGCUCAGAUUGAACGCUGGCGGCAGGCCUAACACAUGCAAGUCGAACGGUAACAGGAAGCAGCUUGCUGCUUCGCUGACGAGUGGCGGACGGGUGAGUAAUGUCUGGGAAACUGCCUGAUGGAGGGGGAUAACUACUGGAAACGGUAGCUAAUACCGCAUAAUGUCGCAAGACCAAAGAGGGGGACCUUCGGGCCUCUUGCCAUCGGAUGUGCCCAGAUGGGAUUAGCUUGUUGGUGGGGUAACGGCUCACCAAGGCGACGAUCCCUAGCUGGUCUGAGAGGAUGACCAGCCACACUGGAACUGAGACACGGUCCAGACUCCUACGGGAGGCAGCAGUGGGGAAUAUUGCACAAUGGGCGCAAGCCUGAUGCAGCCAUGCCGCGUGUAU